RNAcentral lists this ribosomal RNA (163 nucleotides) under Escherichia fergusonii. RNAcentral describes it as "partial 23S ribosomal RNA". It matches the Rfam family "Bacterial large subunit ribosomal RNA", at positions 1 to 155 of the family's 2925-position model. RNAcentral also lists the same sequence under 4 other names. The record is from RNAcentral. Lineage: Bacteria; Pseudomonadati; Pseudomonadota; Gammaproteobacteria; Enterobacterales; Enterobacteriaceae.
GGGUUGUGAGGUUAAGCGACUAAGCGUACACGGUGGAUGCCCUGGCAGUCAGAGGCGAUGAAGGACGUGCUAAUCUGCGAUAAGCGUCGGUAAGGUGAUAUGAACCGUUAUAACCGGCGAUUUCCGAAUGGGGAAACCCAGUGUGAUUCGUCACACUAUCAUU